UUAUGAUAUCAAGAUGAGAUGCCUUGCAUGCUUGUGGAGAGAGUUCUCCAUAAAUAUACGAUGGUUGCCGCGACCUCCUAACUUACAAUCUCGGAUCGAGGAUGUGACACAUGCCCUGCAUCAAAAAGAAAAACUUGCCAAGUCUAGCUAGGCUUGUUAAGCCUCCUGAGCAUAUACAUGGUAUCUUGCCACAUCCAGGAACCACCUGUGGGACUAAGCAUAAGAAAGUAAACAAGGGAUACACAACAACCAACCCUGUCCAUCUCCCCCCCCCCAAAAAAAAAAAGAAAAAAAAGGAAAAAGGAAGAAAGAAAAACUUGCCAAGUUUGACAAGGCUUGUCAAAGCCUCUUAAGCACCUACAAGGUGCCAUGCACAUGCAGGAGCACCUAAAACACUAAGCACAAGAAAAUAGACCAAGGGACGAACCUAGGUUUAUCCCAUUGGAUAGGUGAAGCACUCAAUUUCCCUCACUGAGGACCUCUGCCAUUGAACCUUCACAAGGGUGAA
RNAcentral lists this long non-coding RNA (508 nucleotides) under Elaeis guineensis (African oil palm). Its description in RNAcentral is "long non-coding RNA (EGUI_LNC036045)". The record is from RNAcentral. Lineage: Eukaryota; Viridiplantae; Streptophyta; Magnoliopsida; Arecales; Arecaceae.